Long non-coding RNA from Nasonia vitripennis (jewel wasp), 1426 nucleotides. RefSeq lists it as uncharacterized. The record is from RefSeq and is a predicted model, not a curated record. NCBI's taxonomy places the organism in Eukaryota, Metazoa, Arthropoda, Insecta, Hymenoptera, Pteromalidae. The transcript is spliced from 4 exons.
UAUUAGUACCAAAAUGGUACACGUCGCGCCAUCUAUUGGUCAACUGCGAUUUUGUACAUUGAGACGAGCUCACGCGAGAGCUGACGAACCGCGCAUGUCUCGCGCUAUACUCUAAUCGCCUAUUACGUAUAAUAUCAUAUUCCGUGUGUAGAGCCAGACUAUGCUGUACUGUACUAUACACCUUCUUCUUACCUGCAAGACUCCGAUGUGAGCAGACGUGCCGCCGACUAGGCUCUCAAGCCUUUUACAAUAUACUUAACAAUAAAUUAACCUCAAGUUGUUGUUUAUUGAUCCAACCCUUUUCAACAAAAAUAAUUAAAAUUACUAUAGGAAAAUCGAUGGAAAGCUACUAUAUGUCGCUGGAAUGGGAAGAGAUUUCCGAUUAGCAGCUUGAAAAAUUUCGAGAAAUUCAAUGAUGAUUUACGAGACAGAACAUACGCCUUUAAGUUUAAGUGAGUGAACUUUUGAGACUAAGAAGAGGAAAGGGCGAGCAUGUAAAUAUCCGCGAUAUGCUCACCUACAUAAUGAAGGACGAUAUUGCUCUCAAAUAUAAUUUUUGCGGGCACAGGAAUAAAAUAGCAUUUCAAAAUCAAAGGAUAUGGGAUAUAAUAUCAAACCUGGUGAUAAACUUUAAAUAGACUAUGCGUUAUGCUGACAAUACCUACAAAUGUUAACUUAAAGAAGCAACGAAACCUACUAAAAAAAGCAGAUUACAAUCAACUGAUUAUUAGCUUAUAAUCUGCUGAUAAUCAUGCCAAAACGUCAGCUGAUUAUCAGGUGAUAUCAGCUGAAUAUUUUUAUUAAAGCUGAUAGUUACAAAAAUGCGUUGGUAUAAAAUGAAAUAUUAAUGAUAAUUAGUUGAUUAUCAGGUGAUAAUCAUCAAUAAUUUUUAAGCUUUAGUAUACUUUUUCGCAGUAGUUUAAAAUUAAUAAAAUUUAUAAAAUUCAUAUAAUGAGGACCAGAUGACAACAAUAAAACAUUGGCUUUGAACUACAAAAUUUUAAUUUUUUAAUAAUUUUAUUUAAACAAAAAAUUGUUUAAAUAUUGAUAAAUAAAAAUUUUGCAGCUCACAGCUAGUGUUUUGGUGUUAUCAUCUGGAUAGUAAAAACGUUUUGGCCUUCAUUUUAUGAAUUUUAUAAAUUUUAUUACUUUCGAACAACUUUGAAAAAAUAUACUGAAAGUUAGAAAAUGUUCGAUGAUUAUCACCUGACAAUCAGCUGAUUAUCAUCUGAUAAGAAGCUUAUUUAUUAACUUAGGGUUUAUUUAGUUUUCUACACUAUAUCAAAACAAUAAAAUGAGCAAUUUUAUAAAAUUUCACUAGAAAUUGAAUGUAUACAUAUACCAUACAACAUAGUAAGAUUGGUCCAGAUAUGUCGGAUGCUGUAAAUAAUGUUCUUCUAAGAAAUUAUAGCAAAUAUGUUUAUUC